RNAcentral lists this long non-coding RNA (295 nucleotides) under Gallus gallus (chicken). The record is from RNAcentral. Lineage: Eukaryota; Metazoa; Chordata; Aves; Galliformes; Phasianidae.
UGGAAAGCUUAGCCACUUUGUUAUUCAGCUGAGAACACUUCCUUUCGACAGACUGCUUUUCUUUGAGCAAGUCAUUCAGCCUCUGUUCCAGACUGUCACACUUCUCAAUGGUCUCUUUAAAUUUGGUCUUCAUGUUGUUAAUCUCUUCAGCUGUAUCCUUUUCUAUUCGGACAAUCUUGUUUUCCCAAUAGAUUCUCUGCGAUUCCAGCUGGCUUGUUAGCAAAUAUGAGUACUCUAAUUGUAAGGCAUCAAUUUUCUCUUCCUGACACAUAUCUCCCUCGCACUCAUACUGAAC